GAUGAACGCUGGCGGCGUGCCUAAUACAUGCAAGUCGAGCGAACAGACGAGGAGUUUGCUCCUCUGACGUUAGCGGCGGACGGGUGAGUAACACGUGGAUAACCUACUUAUAAGACUGGGAUAACUUCGGGAAACCGGAGCUAAUACCGGAUAAUAUAUUGAACCGCAUGGUUCAAUAGUGAAAGACGGUUUUGCUGUCACUUAUAGAUGGAUCCGCGCCGCAUUAGCUAGUUGGUAAGGUAACGGCUUACCAAGGCGACGAUGCGUAGCCGACCUGAGAGGGUGAUCGGCCACACUGGAACUGAGACACGGUCCAGACUCCUACGGGAGGCAGCAGUAGGGAAUCUUCCGCAAUGGGCGAAAGCCUGACGGAGCAACGCCGCGUGAGUGAUGAAGGUCUUCGGAUCGUAAAACUCUGUUAUUAGGGAAGAACAAAUGUGUAAGUAACUAUGCACGUCUUGACGGUACCUAAUCAGAAAGCCACGGCUAACUACGUG
RNAcentral lists this ribosomal RNA (497 nucleotides) under uncultured bacterium. RNAcentral describes it as "partial 16S ribosomal RNA". It matches the Rfam family "Bacterial small subunit ribosomal RNA", at positions 28 to 507 of the family's 1533-position model. The record is from RNAcentral.